UCCCUCACAUUGCUACAAAACAUGAUGAUUCUAUUAUUAAAGAUAAGCAAAGAAAAUAAUGACGAAUAAACAAACGCCUUACCCGUUCUAGAGUUACUGGUAGACAAAAUAAUAAAGAACUACGCCUGAAAUGAACUCAUCUGGAGGCUAACCCUAAUCCCGCACAUUGCUACCAAACAUGAUGAAUCUAUUAUUAAAGACACUGUGAACUCCUCUGGAGUUGCCUCCAAAUGAUAUUUCUAUCACCACUACCACAAUCCCUAUGCCACCUCUGCCUAAUUUUUAACAAAUAUAAGCAUUUAAUUCCACUAUCAUUCACCUCAUUAGGAGUUAUUAUAAAUAAUACUUUAUCCGAUUCCCUGAGGAACUUUCAUGAAUAUUUAGAGAGAUGUUCAAACGUGAAUGUGUAGUGCAGCCAAUUUCAUUAACAUUAUUAAUGGGAAAAUAUGCGAUAGUUUUGUCAUGGCCUUUAUAACAAUA
This is a long non-coding RNA of Gordionus sp. m RMFG-2023, 480 nucleotides long. RefSeq lists it as uncharacterized. The record is from RefSeq and is a predicted model, not a curated record. The transcript has 3 exons. Lineage: Eukaryota; Metazoa; Nematomorpha; Gordioida; Chordodea; Parachordodidae.